UACUCCCUGGAGACAUUGAUGGAUGAGGGCCGAAAGGCUAGGAGAUUCUAGUGAGGUCUCCGCCCAGAGAUCAGGCAACACUUGUUAGUACUGGAGCUCAAGACAUAUUCAGCAGUCCUAGCAAAGGCACAGAUCGUGGAAAGAAGCUUCAGCACCCGUCCUCAGCCAGGAGGGAGUUCCCGACCCUCAGCUCUGUUCCGCAGGCCAGUACCUACUGCGCCUGCCCAACCAAAUAAGAGGCCCAGACCAGCCAUCCAGGCCCCUCCUCAGGCUCCAGGGGCAGCACGUGGGAAGAUCUGUCAGCACUGCGGUAGAGAUCACGGGGACCGACUUUGCUACCGCCUCAACAACAUUUGUCGCAUUUAUGGCAGUGCCCAGCAUUAUGCAAAAGAAUGCCCGAUGAACCAGAAUCAAGGGAUGCCUCCUAUCUAGGGCAGAGCUUACAACCUUACCUAGCAGGAUGCCGACGCCGACCCGGAUGUAGUAC
Molecule: long non-coding RNA, 487 nt
Filed under: Carica papaya (papaya)
Lineage: Eukaryota; Viridiplantae; Streptophyta; Magnoliopsida; Brassicales; Caricaceae
Description: long non-coding RNA (CPAP_LNC012430)
Source: RNAcentral